CUGCUCCCCUGUCGUAGAGCCGUAUCGCUCACAGCUCCCAGGUCUCAACAGCUUGGGCCUAUUCCACCAUCACCGCAGUCAACACCACCUCUCCCUCCCACCCCUCGCCGCGGCCGGCCACCACCGCCGACUCAGCCAAGCAUCUCCACAAUUCCCCUGCCAAAACCCGCCGUCUCCGGCGGGCGCUUCUGGCCGACGACCCGAUGAAGUUGCUCACGCGGGUCCGUUACGGCGUCGCCGACUCCUCCCUCAUGGCUGGCCAGGACAAGGUGUGCUCGUUACAGGUACAACCGUACAAGAACGUCAUCACGCGGAGGCGGCAGCAGAGCAACGCCGGCACUGACAAGCCCUGACAAGCCGGGGUAGCCUCGGCGUGCCGAAUGCCGGGCCUCAUAUAUACCCGCAAAAAAUCUCCAGGUGUGAUGGGCAAGAGCGAGCGAUCGUCAUUCUCUGAUGCACAAGUUUGUGCUUCAGCAGUUGGCCCCUUUUCUUCUGGAUGCCGGCAAGCCAUGUCGAUUUGAUGUCAUGUGAGCCGAGUUCUGAAGUAGUGGAGCUGAGGCAUGGCCCAACAUCGUCUGUUAGGAAGCAGCAGUCUGGAAGGUGUUUCGCUUCAGGUUCAUUGACAAGUAUGGUCCAUGCCUUAACGUAUUGGAGGCUAACAUGAGGACUAACAACAUCGGCGGCAACCCCUUCAUCAAACUUGUGAAGCACAAAAGCGCGACAGUCAUCAAUGCCUAAACUAGGAAGGGCUUACAUUUUGAUUCCUGGAAGUGAAGGCUCUGCUCCUGGAGGGACUCGACUCCUAGGAUGAUGCAGCUGCCCAGGCCAAGCGGCCUUGAGAAGGCCAAUGAAUCUUGUGUAUGGAUUAAGAAAGGUGGUGAAAGAUCUGCGUUUUUGCGUUGCUGGAAGUGCUAUCAUCAAAACAGUGGUAGUAGUGGUGUGUUCGUAGGAGGUCACCUCUUUGUGAUUUGGGAGAUCUCAACUGAAUAUUCUCUCUCGGUUGGUGUGUUGCUCAGUAAUUGGGGAUUGACCGUUUCGAAUUGUGAUUCCGGGUGGAAGGUUUUCUAUUGCUGGUCGUAUCUAUGAUGCUGUUUAAUUCGA
Molecule: long non-coding RNA, 1101 nt
Organism: Lolium perenne
Lineage: Eukaryota; Viridiplantae; Streptophyta; Magnoliopsida; Poales; Poaceae
Source: RefSeq, a predicted model, not a curated record